RNAcentral lists this ribosomal RNA (353 nucleotides) under uncultured bacterium. RNAcentral describes it as "partial 16S ribosomal RNA". It matches the Rfam family "Bacterial small subunit ribosomal RNA", at positions 338 to 690 of the family's 1533-position model. The record is from RNAcentral.
CCUACGGGAGGCAGCAGUGGGGAAUAUUGCACAAUGGGGGAAACCCUGAUGCAGCAACGCCGCGUGAGUGAAGAAGUAUUUCGGUAUGUAAAGCUCUAUCAGCAGGGAAGAAAUAGCGACCUUUGGGUCGCCAGACGGUACCUGACUAAGAAGCCCCGGCUAACUACGUGCCAGCAGCCGCGGUAAUACGUAGGGGGCAAGCGUUAUCCGGAUUUACUGGGUGUAAAGGGAGCGUAGACGGCAGCACAAGUCUGAAGUGAAAUGCCGGGGCUUAACCCCGGAACCGCUUUGGGAACUGUGGAGCGUGAGUGGAGGGGAGGGAAGGUGAAUUCCUAGUGUAGCGGGGCAAUUCG